Molecule: ribosomal RNA, 1542 nt
Filed under: Escherichia coli
Lineage: Bacteria; Pseudomonadati; Pseudomonadota; Gammaproteobacteria; Enterobacterales; Enterobacteriaceae
Description: bacterial SSU rRNA
Rfam family: Bacterial small subunit ribosomal RNA
Source: RNAcentral
AAAUUGAAGAGUUUGAUCAUGGCUCAGAUUGAACGCUGGCGGCAGGCCUAACACAUGCAAGUCGAACGGUAACAGGAAACAGCUUGCUGUUUCGCUGACGAGUGGCGGACGGGUGAGUAAUGUCUGGGAAACUGCCUGAUGGAGGGGGAUAACUACUGGAAACGGUAGCUAAUACCGCAUAACGUCGCAAGACCAAAGAGGGGGACCUUCGGGCCUCUUGCCAUCGGAUGUGCCCAGAUGGGAUUAGCUUGUUGGUGGGGUAACGGCUCACCAAGGCGACGAUCCCUAGCUGGUCUGAGAGGAUGACCAGCCACACUGGAACUGAGACACGGUCCAGACUCCUACGGGAGGCAGCAGUGGGGAAUAUUGCACAAUGGGCGCAAGCCUGAUGCAGCCAUGCCGCGUGUAUGAAGAAGGCCUUCGGGUUGUAAAGUACUUUCAGCGGGGAGGAAGGGAGUAAAGUUAAUACCUUUGCUCAUUGACGUUACCCGCAGAAGAAGCACCGGCUAACUCCGUGCCAGCAGCCGCGGUAAUACGGAGGGUGCAAGCGUUAAUCGGAAUUACUGGGCGUAAAGCGCACGCAGGCGGUUUGUUAAGUCAGAUGUGAAAUCCCCGGGCUCAACCUGGGAACUGCAUCUGAUACUGGCAAGCUUGAGUCUCGUAGAGGGGGGUAGAAUUCCAGGUGUAGCGGUGAAAUGCGUAGAGAUCUGGAGGAAUACCGGUGGCGAAGGCGGCCCCCUGGACGAAGACUGACGCUCAGGUGCGAAAGCGUGGGGAGCAAACAGGAUUAGAUACCCUGGUAGUCCACGCCGUAAACGAUGUCGACUUGGAGGUUGUGCCCUUGAGGCGUGGCUUCCGGAGCUAACGCGUUAAGUCGACCGCCUGGGGAGUACGGCCGCAAGGUUAAAACUCAAAUGAAUUGACGGGGGCCCGCACAAGCGGUGGAGCAUGUGGUUUAAUUCGAUGCAACGCGAAGAACCUUACCUGGUCUUGACAUCCACAGAACUUUCCAGAGAUGGAUUGGUGCCUUCGGGAACUGUGAGACAGGUGCUGCAUGGCUGUCGUCAGCUCGUGUUGUGAAAUGUUGGGUUAAGUCCCGCAACGAGCGCAACCCUUAUCCUUUGUUGCCAGCGGUCCGGCCGGGAACUCAAAGGAGACUGCCGGUGAUAAACUGGAGGAAGGUGGGGAUGACGUCAAGUCAUCAUGGCCCUUACGACCAGGGCUACACACGUGCUACAAUGGCGCAUACAAAGAGAAGCGACCUCGCGAGAGCAAGCGGACCUCAUAAAGUGCGUCGUAGUCCGGAUUGGAGUCUGCAACUCGACUCCAUGAAGUCGGAAUCGCUAGUAAUCGUGGAUCAGAAUGCCACGGUGAAUACGUUCCCGGGCCUUGUACACACCGCCCGUCACACCAUGGGAGUGGGUUGCAAAAGAAGUAGGUAGCUUAACCUUCGGGAGGGCGCUUACCACUUUGUGAUUCAUGACUGGGGUGAAGUCGUAACAAGGUAACCGUAGGGGAACCUGCGGUUGGAUCACCUCCUUA